This 917-nucleotide long non-coding RNA is filed under the name Trifolium pratense (red clover). Its description in RNAcentral is "long non-coding RNA (TPRA_LNC011740)". Lineage: Eukaryota; Viridiplantae; Streptophyta; Magnoliopsida; Fabales; Fabaceae. The record is from RNAcentral.
UAUGAAUGGAAAAUAUAUUGGAUAUAUAAGAGUAGUUAAAUGUCGAUGCUUUUGUCUAUUUCUUUUUUAAAAUAGAUGGCACACAGCAAAAGGUUGCUCUAUGCCGGCUGAUUGCGGUGGUAUUUUCGGAGAUAGCAAUGCUACCAAUCUCGGUUGUUUUGCUCAAAACUUAAACAUAUCUACCGCUUUGCAUGCAGAGCUCAUCAGGGUUAUGUAUACAAUUGAGAUAACUUCAUAAAAAGGUUAGAUCUCUCUGCGGAUGCACGGGUCUCUUACUAGCAAGGGGUGACAAAAAAAAAUGUAGACAAUAAUAAAACCAAAGAAGUACUAGCAAUUAAAAGCUUGAAACAAAGAAGGUAAUCAUGGUCAUGAAUUAACAACUACUAUUAACUUGUCUUUUUUUCUUUUCUUAGUAAAAAAGAAAAAGUAAUAAUGAAACAUGUACGAAUGAGUCAAAAAAAGUAAACUUUAUUAAGAAAAAUAAACCGAAAGUUUCUCCAAUAGUCCAAGCAAAACAAUUGAAGGAAACCAUAUGAAGAAAUUGAAAAAACAAAGAAACCCAGAAACAGAGAUGAAGUUAAGAAGCAUAAAGUUUACUCACCUUCAUCUGUCAUACAACCCAGUAGAGCACAUCUGAGAAUGAAUGAAUCAAGGAGAAUACUUUGUUGAUGUGUGUGCAGUGUGCUAGCUAAAAGAUCAAGGAGUUUGGGUAAAACACUAAAACAUGAUGAAUCUAUGAGAAACAGUUAGUGUGUGUGGGUUGUGUUGUGCUUGAAUUGAAUAUCAUUUGUGACAGCAAUGGUGCUCUGUAAAUUGGUGUUUUUCUGUGGGCUUGCUUACGGACAAUUAACAAUAGUAAUAAUAAUACGGUGUAAUAAAUAAUAGGAUCAAUUAUUACUCUAUAUAAAAAUAUAUUC